CCCUUAGAUGUCCUGGGCCGCACGCGCGUUACACUGAUGCAUUCAACGAGCUUAUAACCUUGGCCGAGAGGCCUGGGCAAUCUUGUUAACGUGCAUCGUGAUAGGGAUAGAUUAUUGAAAUUAUUAAUCUUGAACGAGGAAUUCCUAGUAAACGCAGAUCAUCAAUCUGCAUUGAUUACGUCCCUGCCCUUUGUACACACCGCCCGUCGCACCUACCGAUUGGAUGGUCCGGUGAAGCCUCGGGAUUGUGGCCAGUUCACUUUAUUGGGAGUUGGCUGUGAGAACUUGUCUAAACCUUAUCAUUUAGAGGAAGGUGAAGUCGUAACA
This 327-nucleotide ribosomal RNA is filed under the name uncultured eukaryote. Its description in RNAcentral is "partial 18S ribosomal RNA". It matches the Rfam family "Eukaryotic small subunit ribosomal RNA", at positions 1470 to 1796 of the family's 1831-position model. The record is from RNAcentral.